CAUGGACACCGUUCGCACUCACUGACGGCAGGGACGGGGGAACCACCAGUUCCACCGGGCGCCCAGGACCACCUGAGGACGCCCUAGGGGUUAAGUCGCAGCUCACUCGCCGAACAGGGCGCAGGGACUCGACCGGAUGUCUCCCAUCCGAAUCCGACAGCUCACCCCGCAGGCAGAGGAGAGGUACA
RNAcentral lists this small RNA (188 nucleotides) under Arthrobacter sp. Its description in RNAcentral is "c-di-AMP sequence". It matches the Rfam family "c-di-AMP riboswitch aptamer (ydaO/yuaA leader)". From Rfam's summary of the family: This family represents a conserved RNA structure found upstream of the ydaO and yuaA genes in Bacillus subtilis and related genes in other bacteria. The ydaO/yuaA element is thought to act as a genetic "off" switch for the ydaO and yuaA genes in its native state. RNAcentral also lists the same sequence under 1 other name. The record is from RNAcentral. Lineage: Bacteria; Bacillati; Actinomycetota; Actinomycetes; Micrococcales; Micrococcaceae.